Molecule: ribosomal RNA, 505 nt
Filed under: uncultured bacterium
Lineage: Bacteria
Description: partial 16S ribosomal RNA
Rfam family: Bacterial small subunit ribosomal RNA
Source: RNAcentral
GACGAACGCUGGCGGCGUGCCUAAUACAUGCAAGUAGAACGCACAGUUUAUACCGUAGCUUGCUACACCAUAGACUGUGAGUUGCGAACGGGUGAGUAACGCGUAGGUAACCUGCCUGGUAGCGGGGGAUAACUAUUGGAAGCGAUAGCUAAUACCGCAUAAUAUUAAUUAUUGCAUGAUAAUUAAUUGAAAGGUGCAAUUGCACCACUACCAGAUGGACCUGCGUUGUAUUAGCUAGUAGGUGAGGUAACGGCUCACCUAGGCGACGAUACAUAGCCGACCUGAGAGGGUGAUCGGCCACACUGGGACUGAGACACGGCCCAGACUCCUACGGGAGGCAGCAGUAGGGAAUCUUCGGCAAUGGACGAAAGUCUGACCGAGCAACGCCGCGUGAGUGAAGAAGGUUGUCGGAUCGUAAAGCUCUGUUGUAAGAGAAGAACGGGUGUGAGAGUGGAAAGUUCACACUGUGACGGUAUCUUACCAGAAAGGGACGGCUAACUACGUG